RNAcentral lists this ribosomal RNA (2900 nucleotides) under Klebsiella pneumoniae. Its description in RNAcentral is "bacterial LSU rRNA". It matches the Rfam family "Bacterial large subunit ribosomal RNA". The record is from RNAcentral. Lineage: Bacteria; Pseudomonadati; Pseudomonadota; Gammaproteobacteria; Enterobacterales; Enterobacteriaceae.
UUAAGCGACUAAGCGUACACGGUGGAUGCCCUGGCAGUCAGAGGCGAUGAAGGACGUGCUAAUCUGCGAAAAGCGUCGGUAAGGUGAUAUGAACCGUUAUAACCGGCGAUGUCCGAAUGGGGAAACCCAGUGUGAUUCGUCACACUAUCGUUAACUGAAUACAUAGGUUAACGAGGCGAACCGGGGGAACUGAAACAUCUAAGUACCCCGAGGAAAAGAAAUCAACCGAGAUUCCCCCAGUAGCGGCGAGCGAACGGGGAGCAGCCCAGAGUCUGAAUCAGCUUGUGUGUUAGUGGAACGGUCUGGAAAGUCCGACGGUACAGGGUGAUAGUCCCGUACACCAAAAUGCACAGGCUGUGAACUCGAAGAGUAGGGCGGGACACGUGGUAUCCUGUCUGAAUAUGGGGGGACCAUCCUCCAAGGCUAAAUACUCCUGACUGACCGAUAGUGAACCAGUACCGUGAGGGAAAGGCGAAAAGAACCCCGGCGAGGGGAGUGAAAAAGAACCUGAAACCGUGUACGUACAAGCAGUGGGAGCACCUUCGGGUGUGACUGCGUACCUUUUGUAUAAUGGGUCAGCGACUUAUAUUCUGUAGCAAGGUUAACCGUAUAGGGGAGCCGCAGGGAAACCGAGUCUUAACUGGGCGUUAAGUUGCAGGGUAUAGACCCGAAACCCGGUGAUCUAGCCAUGGGCAGGUUGAAGGUUGGGUAACACUAACUGGAGGACCGAACCGACUAAUGUUGAAAAAUUAGCGGAUGACUUGUGGCUGGGGGUGAAAGGCCAAUCAAACCGGGAGAUAGCUGGUUCUCCCCGAAAGCUAUUUAGGUAGCGCCUCGUGAAUUCAUCUUCGGGGGUAGAGCACUGUUUCGGCUAGGGGGUCAUCCCGACUUACCAACCCGAUGCAAACUACGAAUACCGAAGAAUGUUAUCACGGGAGACACACGGCGGGUGCUAACGUCCGUCGUGAAGAGGGAAACAACCCAGACCGCCAGCUAAGGUCCCAAAGUCAUGGUUAAGUGGGAAACGAUGUGGGAAGGCACAGACAGCCAGGAUGUUGGCUUAGAAGCAGCCAUCAUUUAAAGAAAGCGUAAUAGCUCACUGGUCGAGUCGGCCUGCGCGGAAGAUGUAACGGGGCUAAACCAUGCACCGAAGCUGCGGCAGCGACACUAUGUGUUGUUGGGUAGGGGAGCGUUCUGUAAGCCUGCGAAGGUGACCUGUGAGGGUUGCUGGAGGUAUCAGAAGUGCGAAUGCUGACAUAAGUAACGAUAAAGCGGGUGAAAAGCCCGCUCGCCGGAAGACCAAGGGUUCCUGUCCAACGUUAAUCGGGGCAGGGUGAGUCGACCCCUAAGGCGAGGCCGAAAGGCGUAGUCGAUGGGAAACAGGUUAAUAUUCCUGUACUUGGUGUUACUGCGAAGGGGGGACGGAGAAGGCUAUGUUAGCCGGGCGACGGUUGUCCCGGUUUAAGCAUGUAGGCUGGUUAUCCAGGCAAAUCCGGAUAAUCAAGGCUGAGGUGUGAUGACGAGGCACUACGGUGCUGAAGUAACAAAUGCCCUGCUUCCAGGAAAAGCCUCUAAGCAUCAGGUAACAUCAAAUCGUACCCCAAACCGACACAGGUGGUCAGGUAGAGAAUACCAAGGCGCUUGAGAGAACUCGGGUGAAGGAACUAGGCAAAAUGGUGCCGUAACUUCGGGAGAAGGCACGCUGGUGUGUAGGUGAAGUCCCUGCGGAUGGAGCUGAGACCAGUCGAAGAUACCAGCUGGCUGCAACUGUUUAUUAAAAACACAGCACUGUGCAAACACGAAAGUGGACGUAUACGGUGUGACGCCUGCCCGGUGCCGGAAGGUUAAUUGAUGGGGUUAUCCGUAAGGAGAAGCUCUUGAUCGAAGCCCCGGUAAACGGCGGCCGUAACUAUAACGGUCCUAAGGUAGCGAAAUUCCUUGUCGGGUAAGUUCCGACCUGCACGAAUGGCGUAAUGAUGGCCAGGCUGUCUCCACCCGAGACUCAGUGAAAUUGAACUCGCUGUGAAGAUGCAGUGUACCCGCGGCAAGACGGAAAGACCCCGUGAACCUUUACUAUAGCUUGACACUGAACAUUGAGCCUUGAUGUGUAGGAUAGGUGGGAGGCUUUGAAGCGUGGACGCCAGUCUGCGUGGAGCCAACCUUGAAAUACCACCCUUUAAUGUUUGAUGUUCUAACGUUGGCCCCUUACCGGGGUUGCGGACAGUGUCUGGUGGGUAGUUUGACUGGGGCGGUCUCCUCCCAAAGCGUAACGGAGGAGCACGAAGGUUAGCUAAUCCUGGUCGGACAUCAGGAGGUUAGUGCAAUGGCAUAAGCUAGCUUGACUGCGAGCGUGACGGCGCGAGCAGGUGCGAAAGCAGGUCAUAGUGAUCCGGUGGUUCUGAAUGGAAGGGCCAUCGCUCAACGGAUAAAAGGUACUCCGGGGAUAACAGGCUGAUACCGCCCAAGAGUUCAUAUCGACGGCGGUGUUUGGCACCUCGAUGUCGGCUCAUCACAUCCUGGGGCUGAAGUAGGUCCCAAGGGUAUGGCUGUUCGCCAUUUAAAGUGGUACGCGAGCUGGGUUUAGAACGUCGUGAGACAGUUCGGUCCCUAUCUGCCGUGGGCGCUGGAGAAUUGAGGGGGGCUGCUCCUAGUACGAGAGGACCGGAGUGGACGCAUCACUGGUGUUCGGGUUGUCAUGCCAAUGGCACUGCCCGGUAGCUAAAUGCGGAAGAGAUAAGUGCUGAAAGCAUCUAAGCACGAAACUUGCCCCGAGAUGAGUUCUCCCUGAGACUUUAAGUCUCCUGAAGGAACGUUGAAGACGACGACGUUGAUAGGCCGGGUGUGUAAGCGCAGCGAUGCGUUGAGCUAACCGGUACUAAUGAACCGUGAGGCUUAACCUU